CCUACGGGGGGCUGCAGUGAGGAAUAUUGGUCAAUGGACGAGAGUCUGAACCAGCCAAGUAGCGUGAAGGAUGACUGCCCUAUGGGUUGUAAACUUCUUUUAUAUGGGAAUAAAAUGUUCCACGUGUGGGGUUGUGUAUGUACCAUAUGAAUAAGGAUCGGCUAACUCCGUGCCAGCAGCCGCGGUAAUACGGAGUAUCCGAGCGUUAUCCGGAUUUAUUGGGUUUAAAGGGAGCGUAGGUGGUAUGUUAAGUCAGUUGUUAAAGUUGGGGGCUCAACCGUAAAAUUGCAGUUGAAACUGGCAGUCUUGAGUAGAGGAGAGGUGGGCGGAAUGCGCGGUGUAGCGGUGAAAUGCUUAGAUAUCACGAAGAACUCCGAUUGCGAAGGCAGCUCACUGGACUGCAACUGACACUGAGGCACGAAAGUGUGGGUAUCAAACAGGAUUAGAUACCCUUGUAGUC
Molecule: ribosomal RNA, 460 nt
Filed under: uncultured bacterium
Lineage: Bacteria
Description: partial 16S ribosomal RNA
Rfam family: Bacterial small subunit ribosomal RNA
Source: RNAcentral